Non-coding RNA from Sus scrofa (pig), 2108 nucleotides. Lineage: Eukaryota; Metazoa; Chordata; Mammalia; Artiodactyla; Suidae. The record is from RefSeq and is a predicted model, not a curated record.
UCUGCCUCUUGAUGGGAGGUGCUUAUAGAGAUGGGCGGGAUUAUUGAUGGCCAUGCUGGAGACUAUGUACCACCUGGUCCAUCUUACAGAGUCUUGUGUAUAGGAUCUUUUCGAGGGUUAUCAAUAAAAUGGCUUAAGCCCAGGCAUCUUUUGCAGGGGAAUCUCACGCAUCCUUGCUGUGCCAGGGACCCUGUGUUUCCUCUCCAUGUUUCUAUACUCCAGCAGUUUCCACUUCUCUGCAACUCCAGUGAUUUUAGAUGAAGAUGCUCAGCCACCCCCAGUGAAGUAGAGGGGUUCCUGGGAGGUCAACUCCUCCAGAUGUUAGGAGUGAUUUUCUGAGGGUUUUUCUCCUUCUUAUCUUUGAGGAGGGAAUUGCCUACCUUUCUCCCCUCCCUCACUGGGAAUACAUUUGGCUCUGAUUGCUCUCACCGUCCAGGGACAAAUGGGCUAAGGGUGGCGAAAUGUGUGACAGUGUGUAACUCUCCAUUUAUUUCCUGUCCCUUCUCCUAUCUAUUUCAAGUUCCUCACCAUAUCGAGCAGAAUUAUAAAAUGUGAGAGCUGGAAUUCACCCUAGAAUUAAUCUAGUUCAGUGGUUUCCAGCUUUGCUUCACAGACCAUUUGAGGUUUUUUUUUUUUUUUUGCCUUCCUCCCACAGCUUAAGAGCAACAACAGGGUGGGUGAGUGAAGGGAGCAAGUAGGCUUCCAGUGACUCCUUUUAUCCUCAUGCUCUUAUUAUGUAUUUCAUGUGUAUAUGGUCAGGUCACUCAAGGUGGCUGUUCUCUUUCUCCUUGUAUGUCCCUUGCUCCACUGGCACCUGCUUCACCUUAUACCCUGUGCACAUGACCAGGCCCCAGCUGGUGUUUGUUUUUGUCAAAGGGGCUAUAAGGGGCAUGCUCCUUGCUGGUUUCCCUGGUAACUAAUGAGCCCACCUGAAGCCAAUUCCCCCUAUAACUGGCAAUCUUCUCUACCCCUCUGGAGAGUGAAGCUUGUCACCCUGUUUUGCUUGCUGUCUGUCUGCUGCACACAGUGGGGUGUCACUCCAGGAUCUUACUUCAGGAAAGCCAGAGUUUUUCAAACAAAUCACAGAGAGCUGGAAUCAAGAUGCCAGGGGAGUAGUUCACCUUCUCCCACAAAUACAUAAAAAAAAAAAACCUACAUGUAUAACAAUUUUCAUAGAACAUCUACUGAAUACUGGCAGAAGACCUCAGACUUCCAGAAAGGCAAGAAAAUAUCGACCUAAUUGGGUAGGACAAAAGGUAAAAAUGAGAGAGAGAAAGAGAAGAGAGAAAAAGUAAUCAGGAUGGGACAAACACUUCUGGGAAGAAUCUGUUAAAGAGGAAAGGAAUCCACACACUGGGAGGCCUCCUGACUGGUGGGAAGGUCAGCUGGGACAGAGGGGGAGACUCAAAGCCUCUGAAAAAAGCAUUGCAGCCAGUCUUGGGGCGGGGGGUGGAAGCAUAAAGAGAGCUUCACAGACAAUUGGUAUCACUCCACUGCACACUACAGCUUUAAGACACUUGGGUUGGGGUUGGGUGCUGAGGUUUGGGCUUUGGAGGUCAGUCCUGGUGAGAGGACUAGAGUUGGCUCCAUGGAAAUAGCCCAAGGACCUAAGGAGUGUGCCAUAGUUGAGGGAGUGCAGGAGGAGGCCUGGGCCUGCAGGAGAAGAAAAUUGCCAUUGUUGGGGUGUGUGAGAGAAGGAGGGGCAGAACUGCCAUAGGAAAUUCUUUCUGUGCAUGCAUGGACUCUUAGGCAAUAGAUCACCACUUGCAUAGGCUAUAGAGGUGGGUGCAAGCCAUUGCAGCCAUUUCAGACUCCAGUGGUGGGUGCAGUCAGCCACUGUCUGCCUCCCCAAACACCCUAGGAUCUGAUGUCACUGCUGAGGACACUGUGACUAGGCAUUGCCUCCACCUCCCCAUGGAUUGCUGACACUGCCAAGGGCCUGAUGACCAGGUGCCACCUGCAGGUGCCACCCAGUGCCCCCACCUCCUUGGAAGCACAAGCAGGCUGUGCACCUGAAUACCCCCUAUCAAGGGCACAACAGCCUGCACACACUGAGGAAAGAGACAUCAAGCAUCCAAACCAAAAGCAGCAAAAAAAAAAAAAAAAAA